GUCCUGGCUCNGAUUGAACGCUGGCGGCAUGCCUUACACAUGCAAGUCGAACGGCAGCACGGGUGCUUGCACCUGGUGGCGAGUGGCGAACGGGUGAGUAAUGUAUCGGAACGUACCAUUCAGUGGGGGAUAACUAUCCGAAAGGAUAGCUAAUACCGCAUAUUCUGUGAGCAGGAAAGCAGGGGAUCGCAAGACCUUGCGCUGAUUGAGCGGCCGAUAUCAGAUUAGCUAGUUGGUGGGGUAAAAGCCUACCAAGGCGACGAUCUGUAGCGGGUCUGAGAGGAUGAUCCGCCACACUGGAACUGAGACACGGCCCAGACUCCUACGGGAGGCAGCAGUGGGGAAUUUUGGACAAUGGGCGAAAGCCUGAUCCAGCCAUGCCGCGUGAGUGAAGAAGGCCUUCGGGUUGUAAAGCUCUUUCGGCCGGGAAGAAAUCGCAUAGGUUAAUACCCUGUGUGGAUGACGGUACCGGAAUAAGAAGCACCGGCUAACUACGUGCCAGCAGCCGCGGUAAUACGUAGGGUGCGGAGCGAUCAAUCGGGAAUUACUGGGCCGUAAAGCGUGCGCAGGCGGUUUUUUAAGACAGGCGUGAAAUCCCCGGGCUUAACCUGGGAACUGCGCUUGUGACUGGAAGGCUAGAGUACGGCAGAGGGGGGUGGAAUUCCACGUGUAGCAGUGAAAUGCGUAGAGAUGUGGAGGAACACCGAUGGCGAAGGCAGCCCCCUGGGCCGAUACUGACGCCCAUGCACGAAAGCGUGGGGAGCAAACAGGAUUAGAUACCCUGGUAGUCCACGCCCUAAACGAUGUCAACUAGGUGUUGGGUGGGUAAAACCAUUUAGUACCGGAGCUAACGCGUGAAGUUGACCGCCUGGGGAGUACGGCCGCAAGGUUAAAACUCAAAUGAAUUGACGG
This 912-nucleotide ribosomal RNA is filed under the name uncultured beta proteobacterium. Its description in RNAcentral is "bacterial SSU rRNA". It matches the Rfam family "Bacterial small subunit ribosomal RNA", at positions 16 to 916 of the family's 1533-position model. The record is from RNAcentral. Lineage: Bacteria; Pseudomonadati; Pseudomonadota; Betaproteobacteria.